Molecule: ribosomal RNA, 446 nt
Filed under: uncultured Propionibacteriaceae bacterium
Lineage: Bacteria; Bacillati; Actinomycetota; Actinomycetes; Propionibacteriales; Propionibacteriaceae
Description: bacterial SSU rRNA
Rfam family: Bacterial small subunit ribosomal RNA
Source: RNAcentral
CCUACGGGCGGCAGCAGUGGGGAAUAUUGCGCAAUGGGCGAAAGCCUGACGCAGCAACGCCGCGUGCGGGAUGACGGCCUUCGGGUUGUAAACCGCUUUCAGCAGGGACGAAGCAACACGUGACGGUACCUGCAGAAGAAGCACCGGCCAACUACGUGCCAGCAGCCGCGGUGAUACGUAGGGUGCGAGCGUUGUCCGGAAUUAUUGGGCGUAAAGAGCUUGUAGGCGGUCUAUUGCGUCGAAAGUGAAAACUCAGGGCUCAACCCUGAGCCUGCUCUCGAUACGGGCAGACUUGAGGGAUGUAGGGGAGAACGGAAUUCUUGGUGGAGCGGUGGAAUGCGCAGAUAUCAGGAGGAACACCGGUGGCGAAGGCGGUUCUCUGGACAUUUCCUGACGCUGAGAAGCGAAAGCGUGGGUAGCAAACAGGCUUAGAUACCCCGGUAGUC